Molecule: unclassified non-coding RNA, 229 nt
Filed under: air metagenome
Description: partial contains small subunit ribosomal RNA, internal transcribed spacer 1, and 5.8S ribosomal RNA
Rfam family: Eukaryotic small subunit ribosomal RNA (bases 1-46)
Source: RNAcentral
AAGUCGUAACAAGGUCUCCGUAGGUGAACCUGCGGAGGGAUCAUUACCGAGUGAGGCCGCGAGGCCGACCUCCAACCCUUCUGUUAUCCGACCGCGUUGCCUCGGGGGUGACCCGGACGCCUCGCGGCGUUGGGUGCCCCCGGUGGACCACAAUCAAACUCUUGCAUCUUUGCGUCUGAGUACAAUUUGAAUCAAAUCAAAACUUUCAACAACGGAUCUCUUGGUUCUG